This 1666-nucleotide ribosomal RNA is filed under the name fungal sp. RNAcentral describes it as "eukaryotic LSU rRNA". It matches the Rfam family "Eukaryotic large subunit ribosomal RNA", at positions 94 to 1390 of the family's 3401-position model. Lineage: Eukaryota; Fungi. The record is from RNAcentral.
UGAAGCGGCAACAGCUCAAAUUUGAAAUCUGGCUCUAGGGUCCGAGUUGUAAUUUGUAGAGGAUGUUUUGGGUACCGCAGCAGUUUAAAUUUCUUGGAACAGAAUGUUAGAAAGGGUGAGAGUCCCGUCUGGAACUGCAGUAGGGCCUAUGUAAAACUCCUUCGACGAGUCGAGUUGUUUGGGAAUGCAGCUCAAAAUGGGUGGUAAAUUUCAUCUAAAGCUAAAUAUUGGCCAGAGACCGAUAGCGCACAAGUAGAGUGAUCGAAAGAUGAAAAGCACUUUGAAAAGAGAGUUAAACAGUAUGUGAAAUUGUUGAAAGGGAAGCGCUUGCAAUCAGACUUGAGUUUAGCGGUUCCCCCUUGCUUUUGCUUGGGCUACUCCGUUAUAUCCAGGCCAACAUCGGUUCUAGGGGUUGGUUAAAGGCUCUAGGAAUGUAUCUACCCCCGGGUAGACUUAUAGCCUAGGGUGUCAUGCAACCUCCCAGGACCGAGGUACGCGCUUCGGCGAGGAUGUUGGCGUAAUGGUUGUAAGCGACCCGUCUUGAAACACGGACCAAGGAGUCUAACAUCUAUGCGAGUGUUUGGGUGUCAAACCCGUACGCGGAAUGAAAGUAAACGGAGGUAAGAAGCCUUAAGGCUGCAUUAUCGACCGAUCCUGAAAUUUAUGGAUGGAUUUGAGUAAGAGCAUAGCUGUUGGGACCCGAAAGAUGGUGAACUAUGCCUGAAUAGGGUGAAGCCAGAGGAAACUCUGGUGGAGGCUCGCAGCGGUUCUGACGUGCAAAUCGAUCGUCAAAUUUGGGUAUAGGGGCGAAAGACUAAUCGAACCAUUAAGAAUAUAGCUACCUAGGUGGUUAAGUGUGGCCAGAUAAUGGUUGCAAGUACCUAAUAUUCAGGUGCAAUACUGUCAAAUUGCGGGGACGUCCUAAAGCUUUAGCGACCGCCUUUAACUGUGAAAACAGCUUUUGGGCACCAGAUUAAUGAUCUGGGUAAGGUAACACUGCUAAAGAUAUAAUAAUGGAUAAUCCGCAGCCAAUUCCUAAGGCCUGUAGGCUAUGGAUGCAGUUCACAGACUAAAUGGCAGUAGGCUCUUCAGAGCUUAAGUUAUAGUCGGUCCCCUGGAGAAAUCCAGGCGCAUACGCUAAAUCUAUAGUUAAGAAUUAGGUAUUCCCUACAGCUAUAGACCCGAACGGUGCGGGUGUUCUUAGGAAUAUUGGAUUAAACGCUGGUAGCUGGUUCCUGCCGAAGUUUCCCUCAGGAUAGCAGUAACGUUUUCAGUUUUAUGAGGUAAAGCGAAUGAUUAGAGGCCUUGGGGUUGAAACAACCUUAACCUAUUCUCAAACUUUAAAUAUGUAAGAAGCCCUUGUUGCUUAAUUGAACGUGGGCAUUUGAAUGUAUCGUUACUAGUGGGCCAUUUUUGGUAAGCAGAACUGGCGAUGCGGGAUGAACCGAACGGGAGGUUAAGGUGCCGGAGUGCACGCUCAUCAGACACCACAAAAGGUGUCAAUGCAUCUAGACAGCCGGACGGUGGCCAUGGAAGUCGGAAUCCGCUUAGGAGUGUGUAACAACUCACCGGCCGAAUGCAUUGGCCCUGAAAAUGGAUGGCGCUUAAGCGUGUCACCUAUACCUCCCCGUAACCGUUCACUGGACGCGGUUACGAGUAGGCAGGC